UACGAAGGGGGCUAGCGUUGCUCGGAAUCGCUGGGCGUAAAGGGUGCGUAGGCGGGUCUUUAAGUCAGGGGUGAAAUCCUGGAGCUCAACUCCAGAACUGCCUUUGAUACUGAGGAUCUUGAGUUCGGGAGAGGUGAGUGGAACUGCGAGUGUAGAGGUGAAAUUCGUAGAUAUUCGCAAGAACACCAGUGGCGAAGGCGGCGCACUGGCCCGAUACUGACGCUGAGGCACGAAAGCGUGGGGAGCAAACAGG
Molecule: ribosomal RNA, 253 nt
Filed under: uncultured bacterium
Lineage: Bacteria
Description: partial 16S ribosomal RNA
Rfam family: Bacterial small subunit ribosomal RNA
Source: RNAcentral